UUCUGUUGAUAUAUUUAUUGAAUAUGGAAUAAUACACGAAGUAUUUUUUAAAUUUCGUAAAAAUGUUGAGUAAAACGUUGAUGGUGUUGCUAAUUAUUUGCAUAACAUCAAAUAUGUUCCAUUGCGGUUAUAUUGUUAGAAGUGAUACUUUAUUUGAAAUGCAUAAUGGUACUCUGCUUCAAAAAGGAAAACACAUCGUCGCCAUUAAAGGAAAUUGUCCUGGGAAAAAGUUUUAUUCGAGUUUGUUACGAAUGUGUGUAAAACCACACGGUGUAUAAUAAAAUAAUUAUUUUUAAUGAUUUAUAAAUACAUUGUCCCAAAGCCAUUAGCUUCAACUUUAUAAUUUUUGGUAAUGAAAAAAUAUAGAACGAAAAGGAAACUUAAACAAUGAAAAAGGGUUACAAUUAACAGUAAAGAAAACACAAGCUUAAACUCGCCAAAAUAAUAAUUUAUUUGAAAAUAAUCAAUCAAUACUUAGUGUUCCCUUCCCUCGUCCUAAUAACAGCUCCCAAUCGCUUUUCCAUGGUUCGAAUAAGUUUCUUUGCACGAUCUACUUCGAUGCCAUCCCGUUCUUCAUUCAGCGCCGUUUCGAUUUCGUGGCAGGUGCAAGAUUUCUUGCCCGAACUCUUAAAUUCCUCCCGAAAAUUCUCGAUAGGAUUUAAAUCCGGGUUACACGCUGGCCAAUCCAUAAAGGCAUUUUCGACAUUCUGAAAAUACUGCCGUACUGAACCUGCAGUAUGUUGGCAGCCAUUAAAAUAUAACAGUUUUUAUAAAAACCAACUCGGUUUUUGAUUCCAUCGAAAUGCCCGCCCAUACCAUCCAGGAACCUCCUCCAAAAUCACGAUUUUUUAUGCAACACUGCGCGAAUCUUUCUCCGGGUCUUCUGUAGACUCGUCCUCUUCUAUCGCUACCAUGCAGGUACAUACUGCUUUUGCCUAAAUAAAGAAAGGAGUCCCAGUCCAAUUAACUUGUUCUUUGGCAAAUCGUUGACAAGCUGCUUGGUGGGCUGCGCUUAAUUUAGGGCCAGUAGCUGAUCAUUUUACCUCAAGGUUAGCUGCCUUGAGUCUUUUUCUGACUGUCCAACCACUCACAGCCACUAAAUCGCCUUUCUCUGAGCUUUUGUUGGACUUUAAUACCAAUGAGGGAUAGAUUUCUUAGCAAUGUGUUGACAAUUAAUCGAUCAUCCCUCUCGGAUGGACACUUUUUUCUUCAGGAAACUGCGUUUUUGAUGAAAGUUACCAGUCUCUUGGUAACGACGGUAAAAUCUGGAAACAGCAGACUUACUCAUGUUCAGCGCACUGGCGACUUCUCGCUGACUCUGGUUUUGUCGCGUUCUUUAAGACGAAUGCUAAAACGCAUGCGCUAUCGAAUUAACUGUUCGCCAUCGUCUCCUCCACGCACUUCACGAGGAUAAUUUCGAUUGAAGAUUGGAUGUGGUCAAGAUGAUCCGCAGAAUAUGUAUUUCGUUUCAAAUUUCGCCAAAAACGUUCAAUUGGCAUCAGUUGAGGCACAUUAAGAUCAUUCUUAGACUUCUCACUAAACGAAAUAUCAACUGCAGAAGCUCCCACAACGUACUUUGCAUAAUGAGCAGUUGCCAUAUCUGACCAAAACGCAAAAUUUCCUUCAUGGUGCUUUUUCGUUAUGAACUGCAUUAAUAAAGAUCUAACACACACUCUUUUUCAUGUGUUUUGACUAGGGUCUUGCCUAUUUUAUUACACUACAAGGGACGAAAGUUCUUCGGCUCUGCGUGUCAUGAUUCCCGAGGAGAAGCUCGUAGAUUUACGUGGUGAAAUACAAAACGAUCCAACACUCGUGAUCAUCAUUUCAUGGAUGGAUAGGCAAAAGAGGAAUCUUUGAAUGACCCGCACGGUCAUGUGAGUUGACCCCCUGUGAUUUCUUCUUGCGAGGCCUUCUCAAGGACCGCGUUUUUGCAAGAGGACCACGCACCCUUCCCGACCUCCGAGCUGCAAUUGAAGUAGAAUUUGAAACUCUUCACGAAUAGCUUUGCCGGACCUGCCUCUCCGUUGAGAAACGAUGCAUUGAUCAAAAUCAUCAAUUUGAACCCUUUUUCGAAUCCCUUUUGUAAUUUUUUUUAAUAAAUUCAUUUACCUGUU
RNA transcript from Diorhabda carinulata, 2114 nucleotides. It is a transcript of the gene named insulin-like growth factor-binding protein complex acid labile subunit, with no coding region annotated. The transcript has 2 exons. Lineage: Eukaryota; Metazoa; Arthropoda; Insecta; Coleoptera; Chrysomelidae. The record is from RefSeq and is a predicted model, not a curated record.